This 570-nucleotide long non-coding RNA is filed under the name Anser brachyrhynchus (Pink-footed goose). RNAcentral describes it as "lncRNA (ENSABRG00000012718.1)". The record is from RNAcentral. Lineage: Eukaryota; Metazoa; Chordata; Aves; Anseriformes; Anatidae.
CUUGAAAUUUGCUUUUAGCUAGCUUUAGUGUGUUAGCAUACAAUUUCUUACCUUUCCCUUCCCUCUCUGAGGGAACAAGGCUCCUGCCCUGAAGAAGUCAGAUCCUAAGACAAAGACAAGAGUUUCCCAUUACAACUGCAGUUCAAGAGGCUCUACAGUCAGGGCAAGUUGGAAGGGAUGAAAACUGAAAGGAAAUAAGGCUGGACUAUGAAAACAGUUGCUACUGAUUUCUGUCUUCCUUGCUGACUGGUAUCUGAGGAUGCUUGGGCAUAUAACAAAAGGGUAGGAUAAUUCUUAGAGUAAAGAAUGACCAGGCAAUACUCUUUGAAAAUUGGAGACCAUUUGCAGCUGCUCUCUGCUGAGGAAAGUGAAUAAUAGGGUGCCCUCAAGGAAUUUCAAAGGACACCCGAAGCUCAGUUUCCUAAUUCUGAAGCUCAGUCUCCUAUUUCUGCACAAGAAAGCUCUUCAUAAAAAGGAGAUUCCGACAUAAACACAGGGCUGUACUCUCCAUACAAGAACUGUGUGGGAGGAUCUUUGUUUGGGAUUUUUUUCUAAAGGGUGAUCUCUGGC